UCAGAAGACUCAAGACUUAUACUCCCUUUGU
Molecule: non-coding RNA, 31 nt
Filed under: Mus musculus (house mouse)
Lineage: Eukaryota; Metazoa; Chordata; Mammalia; Rodentia; Muridae
Source: RNAcentral